This 262-nucleotide ribosomal RNA is filed under the name uncultured Methanobrevibacter sp. RNAcentral's name for it is "partial 16S ribosomal RNA". It matches the Rfam family "Archaeal small subunit ribosomal RNA", at positions 385 to 649 of the family's 1478-position model. Lineage: Archaea; Methanobacteriati; Methanobacteriota; Methanobacteria; Methanobacteriales; Methanobacteriaceae. The record is from RNAcentral.
UGCCAUUCUUAACGGGAUGGCUUUUCAUUACUGUAAAGAGCUUUUGGAAUAAGGGCUGGGCAAGACCGGUGCCAGCCGCCGCGGUAACACCGGCAGCUCUAGUGGUAGCAGUUUUUAUUGGGCCUAAAGCGUCCGUAGCCGGUUUAAUAAGUCUCUGGUGAAAUCCUGUAAUCCGCUGUCAGGCUUUCAGGAGAUACUGUUUGGCUUGAGGCCGGGAGAGGUGAGAGGUACUUUGGGGGUAGGGGUGAAAUCUUGUAAUCCA